UACAGAGGUCCCGAGCGUUGUUCGGAUUCACUGGGCGUAAAGGGUGCGUAGGUGGUGAGGUAAGUCGGAUGUGAAAUCUCCGGGCUCAACCCGGAAAUGGCAUUGGAAACUACCUUGCUAGAGGAUUUGAGGGGGGAUUGGAAUACUUGGUGUAGCAGUGAAAUGCGUAGAUAUCAAGUGGAACACCAGUGGCGAAGGCGAGUCCCUGGAAAAUACCUGACACUGAGGCACGAAAGCUAGGGGAGCAAACAGG
Molecule: ribosomal RNA, 253 nt
Filed under: uncultured bacterium
Lineage: Bacteria
Description: partial 16S ribosomal RNA
Rfam family: Bacterial small subunit ribosomal RNA
Source: RNAcentral